RNAcentral lists this ribosomal RNA (373 nucleotides) under uncultured Methanolinea sp. RNAcentral describes it as "bacterial SSU rRNA". It matches the Rfam family "Archaeal small subunit ribosomal RNA", at positions 966 to 1338 of the family's 1478-position model. The record is from RNAcentral. Lineage: Archaea; Methanobacteriati; Methanobacteriota; Methanomicrobia; Methanomicrobiales; Methanoregulaceae.
CUCUGCUUGACUAGCUGAGAGGAGGUGCAUGGCCGUCGUCAGUUCGUACUGUGAAGCAUCCUGUUAAGUCAGGCAACGAGCGAGCCCCAUGCCAACAGUUGCCAGCAUGUCCUCCGGGAUGAUGGGGACACUGUUGGGACCGCCUCUGCUAAAGAGGAGGAAGGAAUGGGCAACGGUAGGUCAGCAUGCCCCGAAUUAUCCGGGCUACACGCGGGCUACAAUGGUCAGGACAAUGGGUAUCGACACCGAGAGGUGGAGGCAAUCUCCUAAACCUGUCCUUAGUUCGGAUUGUGGGCUGCAACUCGCCCACAUGAAGCUGGAAUCCGUAGUAAUCGCGUUUCAAAAUAGCGCGGUGAAUAUGUCCCUGCUCCUU